This 264-nucleotide ribosomal RNA is filed under the name uncultured bacterium. RNAcentral's name for it is "partial 16S ribosomal RNA". It matches the Rfam family "Bacterial small subunit ribosomal RNA", at positions 793 to 1055 of the family's 1533-position model. The record is from RNAcentral.
GUCCACGCCGUAAACGAUGGAUGCUAGCCGUCGGCAAGCUUGCUUGUCGGUGGCGCAGCUAACGCAUUAAGCAUCCCGCCUGGGGAGUACGGCCGCAAGGUUAAAACUCAAAGGAAUUGACGGGGGCCCGCACAAGCGGUGGAGCAUGUGGUUUAAUUCGACGCAACGCGAAGAACCUUACCAGCUCUUGACAUUCACUGAUCGCCUGGGGAGACCUGGGAGUCCUAGCAAUAGGCAGUGGGACAGGUGCUGCAUGGCUGUCGU